Molecule: non-coding RNA, 68 nt
Filed under: Halothece sp. PCC 7418
Lineage: Bacteria; Bacillati; Cyanobacteriota; Cyanophyceae; Chroococcales; Halothecacae
Description: Glutamine riboswitch aptamer (glnA leader)
Rfam family: Glutamine riboswitch aptamer (glnA leader)
Source: Rfam by way of RNAcentral
AUCGUUCAUCUCUCUAACGGAAAUCUUCUAGAGAGACGGAAGUAGGGAACUCCCCGAAGGAACGCGCC